Lepisosteus oculatus (spotted gar) is the source of this 1872-nucleotide long non-coding RNA. RefSeq lists it as uncharacterized. The record is from RefSeq and is a predicted model, not a curated record. Lineage: Eukaryota; Metazoa; Chordata; Actinopteri; Semionotiformes; Lepisosteidae.
AAAAUACAUCGUUGUUAAUCCAGGAUUUUAAAUUAAAACGGUCACUGGGUUUUAUGUAAAUUAGUGCCAAAAACAUCAAACAGCCAAAGAGCUAUGUAUUUGCACAUUAUUCACCAUUAAGAUGGAACCAGCGAUCAAGCUCAGUUUACGAUCAAGAGGACAUUAAUAUGUAACGUGCGCCACCUCGUGGAGUAAUACGUACGUCACGAGCAAAAUCUCAAAAUGUUGGUGUUUUUACGUACAGCAGUACAGCAGUGAUAUGCUUCCGUUCGCCGAUGAGAUAAAGAAAGUUCGCACAUUGCUAAAAACCCCUCAAAGUAGAAAAAAACUGUUAUUCUAUAUGAGCCAGUCAAGGUGCUUUCCAGAAGGCGGGGUUAAUAUUUUAAGUUGAGGAGUCGGAAGCAGAACUUGCUCAUUCAGUCAGGAUAAUCGAAGAGGAAAGACGUUACUUAUAAUUCUCAAGAUGCCUGCACUGCAAAUUAAGGACUCUGAGAAUUUUCACUUACACUUGCAAAAUGAAAAUACAACAGGUGCUAAUGACGCCACCUGCCAUGAUGAACACUACUAUCUCUUGGCUGCUCUUCUCUUUGUCAUAAUUCUGGGCCUCCUCCUAUUCAGCGUGAAAGCCAACAGGGAGACAAAUAUUCAUCAGCGCAAAAGAGGACCAAGUAAGCCCGCUCUAUCAAUAGAGGAAACGCAGCCACAUGCUGGACUCUACGUUGCCACCUAUGAGUAAGAAGGACAGAGUGACUGACAUGAAGCUGAACCGCCGUUACCACCGGUACUCUCCUCAGGAAGAUGGCAACGAUGUGAAGACAAAACAAGAGAGGUUUCGCAAACCAAUCUAUCCUUCAUCUCACAUCCAGAGCCAUAGAUUUCUUUUGAAGGCCAAAAGAUGCAAAAACAAGUGACUGUUGGCUCCAAAACUGACACACAGUUCUUCCACCUGGAAGUGACUGCACUCUUCUCAACCACAUUUCUUAAAUUUACUAUUAUCAGGCAUUUUCAGGACCAGUUUAAGGAUUUAAUGAGCCCUUAAGUAAGGGAGAAGGGCCCAGCCUAGCUCUGUUGCAUUAGACUCGUAAUCUCAGGGUAGUGGGUUCGUGUCCCACGUCGGGUGCAAGAGUUUUUAACAACCCAUACUGGGCGGCGGCAGUAUGGGGGAGCGGUGUUGGAGGUACGUGUGUGGAAGAAAGGCCUGGCAAUCCACUUCCGUAUCUUGCCAUGAAAACUCUAUGGAUAGUGAGAGGGGAAAUAUCCAUAGGGUCACCAUGAGUCAGUGGCACUCAACAAAAACAAGAAGUGAAAACCAAUUUAAUGAAACAAAUGCCUGAAGAAGUUGGUUUGACAAGUGCGGUUGACCAUUCUAGGGACAGAUUGUGUCAUCAAUUAUAGAACAAGAAACUUGAAGUGCAGAAUGUUUGUCCAGCAACCAGGAAGGUAGUUAGGUUGUUGACCACGAACUGAUGCAUCACAGUUUACAUCAUCAGCAUUAUGUUUGUAAUAAACAGCUCUCAGGUGCAAACAAUUCUGGUGCAGACCAUAUCUGCUGAUCUGCAUCAGCGUAAAUAGGAACUACUUGUGCAACUACUACUGGUGCUCAGAAAAUCAGCCCCCAGUUAUGUUAGCAGGAAUCUAUCCAAGUGCCUGCAACACCUGUAACUUUUAAUGUCUGGACCAAUUUUGUUUUUUCAAAUUGCACUGAGGUCCAAUUUUACAUGGAGUUCUGGAGGGAUGACGACAGCCAAGUUCAAUCAGAUUCAGCUGUCAGUAUUUAGCGUCAUUGAUGUCCUGACUUCAUUUCCUCUCCUAAAACACUAUACUGUAGUAGUUCAGGUGGGUAGCUGCAUCAGCAUGCGUAUGCUGCAAAGG